RNAcentral lists this ribosomal RNA (497 nucleotides) under uncultured bacterium. Its description in RNAcentral is "partial 16S ribosomal RNA". It matches the Rfam family "Bacterial small subunit ribosomal RNA", at positions 28 to 507 of the family's 1533-position model. The record is from RNAcentral.
GAUGAACGCUGGCGGCGUGCCUAAUACAUGCAAGUCGAGCGACCAGAUAAGGAGCUUGCUCCUUUGCCGUUAGCGGCGGACGGGUGAGUAACACGUGGGUAACCUACCUCUAAGACUGGGAUAACUUCGGGAAACCGGAGCUACUACCGGCUCAUAUUUCGAACCGCAUGGUUCGAUAGUGCAAGAUGGUUUUGCUAUCACUUAUAGAUGGACCCGCGUCGUAUUAGCUAGUUGGUAAGGUAACGGCUUACCAAGGCGACGAUACGUAGCCGACCUGAGAGGAUGAUCAGCCACACUGGAACUGAGACACGGUCCAGACUCCUACGGGAGGCAGCAGUGGGGAAUAUUCCGCAAUGGGCGAAAGCCUGACGGAGCAACGCCGCGUGGGUGAUGAAGGUCUUCGGAUCGUAAAACUCUGUUAUUGGGGAAGAACAGACGUGUAAGUAACUGUGCACGUCUUGACGGUACCUAAUCAGAAAGCCACGGCUAACUUCGUG